RNAcentral lists this long non-coding RNA (434 nucleotides) under Helianthus annuus (common sunflower). The record is from RNAcentral. Lineage: Eukaryota; Viridiplantae; Streptophyta; Magnoliopsida; Asterales; Asteraceae.
UUAUAAUUUAGUUUUGACACUUGAAGUUAUGAAGUUUUGGUUUAAAUUAUUAAGAUUGAUGGGAUUGUUGUUGAAGUGUGGGGGUGGUGAGUGUGUAUGGGUAUUAGUAUUUGUUUAUCUAUCUGUUUUCGAAAACAAUGGAUCACAUAAGUUGGCCGCGGCCGAAGAAGUCAUUGGAGAAAAGCCCCACUGAUGAAAGCCCGGGCGAAUCCAUGUCUUCUUAUUCUAAUAGAUUCUCUGGUGAUCAGAGGAUGGAGGCGGAAUGUAUUCGGGUGAACUUGAGAUAAUCAACAAGUAAAACAACACCAUUGCCCGGAGUAAUGUAAAUCCUUUUCCAACACUUCUCAUGUUAUUGGGUGUUCCAGAGGUUAAUCGGUUUGCCAAUAUAUACAAGUGAAGGCAUUAGCGUCAUUAGCGCCACAAAGAAGACUAGG